GACGAACGCUGGCGGCGUGCUUAACACAUGCAAGUCGAACGGAAAGGCCCUGCUUUUGUGGGGUGCUCGAGUGGCGAACGGGUGAGUAACACGUGAGUAACCUGCCCUUGACUUUGGGAUAACUUCAGGAAACUGGGGCUAAUACCGGAUAGGAGCUCCUGCUGCAUGGUGGGGGUUGGAAAGUUUCGGCGGUUGGGGAUGGACUCGCGGCUUAUCAGCUUGUUGGUGGGGUAGUGGCUUACCAAGGCUUUGACGGGUAGCCGGCCUGAGAGGGUGACCGGCAACAUGGGAACUGAGAUACGGCCAAGACUCCUACGGGAGGCAGAGGGGGGGAAUAUUGCACAAUGGGCGGAAGCCUGAUGCAGCAACGCCGCGUGCGGGAGGACGGCCUUCGGGUGGUAAACCGCUUUCGCCUGUGACGAAGCGUGAGGGACGGUAAUGGGAAAAGAAGCACCGGCUAACUACGU
Molecule: ribosomal RNA, 467 nt
Filed under: uncultured bacterium
Lineage: Bacteria
Description: partial 16S ribosomal RNA
Rfam family: Bacterial small subunit ribosomal RNA
Source: RNAcentral